GAUGAACGCUGGCGGCGUGCCUAAUACAUGCAAGUCGAGCGAACAGACUAGAGUGCUUUCACUCUCUGACGUUAGCGGCGGACGGGUGAGUCACACGUAGCUAACCUAACUAUAAGGCUUGGAUAACUUCGGGAACCCCGAGCUCUUACCGGAUAAUAUUUAGCUUUGCAUGUAGCAAUAGUGAAAGACCGUUCUGCUGUCACUUAUAGAUGUACCCGCUGUGUAUUAGCUAGUUGGUGAGGUAACGGCUCACCAAGUCACCGAUCCAUAGCCGACCUGAGAGGGUGAUAGGCGACACGGGGACUGAGACACGGCCAAGACGACUAAGGGAGGCAGCAGUAGGGAAGCGGCGGCAAUGGACGAAAGUAUGACGGAGCAAGGGCGCGUGAGUGAAGAAGGUGUUCGGAUAGGAAAACUCUGUUGUGAGGGAAGAACAAGUACGUUAGGAAAAGAACGGACAGUGACGGUACCUGAAGAGGAAGCCACGGCUAACUACGUG
RNAcentral lists this ribosomal RNA (499 nucleotides) under uncultured bacterium. RNAcentral's name for it is "partial 16S ribosomal RNA". It matches the Rfam family "Bacterial small subunit ribosomal RNA", at positions 28 to 507 of the family's 1533-position model. The record is from RNAcentral.